Molecule: ribosomal RNA, 253 nt
Filed under: uncultured bacterium
Lineage: Bacteria
Description: partial 16S ribosomal RNA
Rfam family: Bacterial small subunit ribosomal RNA
Source: RNAcentral
UACGUAGGGGGCAAGCGUUGUCCGGAUUUAUUGGGCGUAAAGAGCGUGUAGGCGGCCGUACAGGUCAGCUGUGAAAACUCGAGGCUCAACCUCGAGACGUCGGUUGAAACCGUACGGCUAGAGUCCGGAAGAGGAGAGUGGAAUUCCCAGUGUAGAGGUGAAAUUCGUAGAUAUUGGGAAGAACACCGAUGGCGAAGGCAGCCAUCUGGACCGACACUGACGCUGAGGCGCGAAAGCGUGGGGAGCAAACAGG